CAAUAGCGUAUAUUAAAGUUGUUGCAGUUAAAAAGCUCGUAGUUGAAUUUCUGGUGGGCGCGCCGGUCUUCCAAGUGUUGUACUGGGCGCAGUCCGCCAUCCUUGUGGAGAGGGCUCGCAUUGAGUUGCGUGUCGGAUCUGCAUCAUUUACUGUGAAAAAAUUAGAGUGUUUAAAGCAGGCUGUCGCUUGAAUACAUUAGCAUGGAAUAAUAAGAUAGGACUUCGGUCUAUUUUGUUGGUUGCGAACCGAGGUAAUGAUUAAUAGGGAUAGUUGGGGGUAUUCAUAUUUAAUUGUCAGAGGUGAAAUUCUUGGAUUUAUGAAAGAUGAACAACUGCGAANGNAUUUACNAAGGAUGUUUNCAUUA
This 365-nucleotide ribosomal RNA is filed under the name uncultured eukaryote. Its description in RNAcentral is "partial 18S ribosomal RNA". It matches the Rfam family "Eukaryotic small subunit ribosomal RNA", at positions 592 to 975 of the family's 1831-position model. The record is from RNAcentral.